UAGGGAAUCUUCCACAAUGGACGCAAGUCUGAUGGAGCAACGCCGCGUGAGUGAAGAAGGUUUUCGGACCGUAAAGCUCUGUUGUUGGUGAAGAAGGAUAGAGGUAGUAACUGGCCUUUAUUUGACGGUAAUCAACCAGAAAGUCACGGCUAACUACGUGCCAGCAGCCGCGGUAAUACGUAGGUGGCAAGCGUUGUCCGGAUUUAUUGGGCGUAAAAGCGAGCGCAGGCGGAAGAAUAAGUCUGA
Molecule: ribosomal RNA, 246 nt
Filed under: uncultured bacterium
Lineage: Bacteria
Description: partial 16S ribosomal RNA
Rfam family: Bacterial small subunit ribosomal RNA
Source: RNAcentral